AGUUAGUGGCGCACGGGUGAGUAACGCGUGGGGACGUGCCCAUGGGUGGGGGAUAACUAAGGGAAACUUUAGCUAAUACCGCAUAAGCCCUGAGGGGGAAAGAUUUAUCGCCGAUGGAGCGACCCGCGUCAGAUUAGGUAGUUGGUAGGGUAAAAGCCUACCAAGCCGACGAUCUGUAGCUGUUCUUAGAGGAAGAUCAGCCACACUGGAACUGAGACACGGUCCAGACUCCUACGGGAGGCAGCAGUGGGGAAUAUUGGACAAUGGGGGAAACCCUGAUCCAGCAAUGCCGCGUGAGUGAAGAAGGCCUUCGGGUUGUAAAGCUCUUUUAGAUGAGACGAUGAUGACGGUAUCAUCAGAAAAAGCACCGGCUAACUCUGUGCCAGCAGCCGCGGUAAUACAGAGGGUGCUAGCGUUGUUCGGAAUUACUGGGCGUAAAGAGCGCGUAGGCGGCCUGUUGAGUUAAGUGUGAAAGCCCAAGGCUUAACCUUGGAACUGCAUUUUACACUGGCAGGCUAGAGGUCGCAAGAGGACAGUGGAAUUCCUAGUGUAGAGGUGAAAUUCGU
RNAcentral lists this ribosomal RNA (566 nucleotides) under uncultured Pseudomonadota bacterium. Its description in RNAcentral is "bacterial SSU rRNA". It matches the Rfam family "Bacterial small subunit ribosomal RNA", at positions 90 to 691 of the family's 1533-position model. The record is from RNAcentral. Lineage: Bacteria; Pseudomonadati; Pseudomonadota.